Molecule: ribosomal RNA, 586 nt
Filed under: Actinomyces sp. oral taxon 414
Lineage: Bacteria; Bacillati; Actinomycetota; Actinomycetes; Actinomycetales; Actinomycetaceae
Description: bacterial SSU rRNA
Rfam family: Bacterial small subunit ribosomal RNA
Source: RNAcentral
AUGGGCGGAAGCCUGAUGCAGCGACGUCGCGUGAGGGAUGGAGGCCUUCGGGUUGUGAACCUCUGUUUCCGGUGGUGAAGGCCCUGUCCGUGUGGUGGGGUUGACGGUAGCCGGGGAUGAAGCGCCGGCUAACUACGUGCCAGCAGCCGCGGUAAUACGUAGGGCGCGAGCGUUGUCCGGAAUUAUUGGGCGUAAAGGGCUUGUAGGCGGCUGGUCGCGUCUGCCGUGAAAUUCUCCGGCUCAACCGGGGGCUUGCGGUGGGUACGGGCCAGCUGGAGUGCGGUAGGGGAGGCUGGAACUCCUGGUGUAGCGGUGGAAUGCGCAGAUAUCAGGAGGAACACCGGUGGCGAAGGCGGGUCUCUGGGCCGUUGACUGACGCUGAGGAGCGAAAGCGUGGGGAGCGAACAGGAUUAGAUACCCUGGUAGUCCACGCCGUAAACGUUGGGCACUAGGUGUGGGGGCGCCUGGUUUUACUGGGUGGUUCCGCGCCGCAGCUAACGCAUAAAGUGCCCCGCCUGGGGAGUACGGCCGCAAGGCUAAAACUCAAAGGAAUUGACGGGGGCCCGCACAAGCGACGGAGCAUGCG